GCCUGGGUGGCUCAGUCGGUUGAGCGUCCGACUUCGGCUCAGGUCAUGAUCUCACGGUUUGUGGGUUCGAGCCCCGCGCUGGGCU
RNAcentral lists this transfer RNA (85 nucleotides) under Felis catus (domestic cat). It matches the Rfam family "tRNA". Rfam says of the family: Transfer RNA (tRNA) molecules are approximately 80 nucleotides in length. Their secondary structure includes four short double-helical elements and three loops (D, anti-codon, and T loops). The record is from Rfam by way of RNAcentral. Lineage: Eukaryota; Metazoa; Chordata; Mammalia; Carnivora; Felidae.